RNAcentral lists this ribosomal RNA (492 nucleotides) under uncultured bacterium. RNAcentral's name for it is "partial 16S ribosomal RNA". It matches the Rfam family "Bacterial small subunit ribosomal RNA", at positions 29 to 507 of the family's 1533-position model. The record is from RNAcentral.
AGUGAACGCUGGCGGUAGGCCUAACACAUGCAAGUCGAACGGCAGCACAGUAAGAGCUUGCUCUUACGGUUGGCGAGUGGCGGAUGGGUGACGCGUACAUCGCCAUCUUCUUUUUCUUGGGGGAUAACGUAGGGCCACUUCCGCUACCACAGAAUACGAUCUACCGCUUGAAUCAAGAGAUCUUGGCACUUUUGGCGUUUCAAAGAGCCGAUGUCGGAUUAGCUAGUUGGCGGGGUAAAGGCCCACCAAGGCGACGAUCCGUAGCUGGUCUGAGAGGAUGAUCAGCCACACUGGAACUGAGACACGGUCCAGACUCCUACGGGAGGCAGCAGUGGGGAAUAUUGGACAAUGGGCGCAAGCCUGAUCCAGCCAUACCGCGUGGGUGAAGAAGGCCUUCGGGUUGUAAAGCCCUUUUGUUGGGAAAGAAAAGCAGCAGGUUAAUACCCCGCUGUUCUGACGGUACCCAAAGAAUAAGCACCGGCUAACUUCGUG